ACGCACGCUGGCGGCAUGCCUCACCCAUGCAAGUCGAACGAGACCUUCGGGUCUAGUGGCGCACGGGUGCGUAACGCGUGGGAACCUGCCCUUAGGUUCGGAAUAACUCCCCGAAAGGGGUGCUCAUACCGGAUAAUGUCUUCGGACCAAAGAUUUAUCGCCUUUGGAUGGGCCCGCGUUGGAUUAGCUAGUUGGUAGGGGAAAAGCCUACCAAGGCGACGAUCCAUAGCUGGUCUGAGAGGAUGAUCAGCCACACUGGGACUGAGACACGGCCCAGACUCCUACGGGAGGCAGCAGUGGGGAAUAUUGGACGAUGAGCGAAAGCCUGAUCCAGCAAUGCCGCGUGAGUGAUGAAUGCCUUAGGGUUGUAAAGCUCUUUUACCCGGGAUGAUAAUGACAGUACCGGGAGAAUAAGCUCCGGCUAACUCCGUG
Molecule: ribosomal RNA, 432 nt
Filed under: uncultured bacterium
Lineage: Bacteria
Description: partial 16S ribosomal RNA
Rfam family: Bacterial small subunit ribosomal RNA
Source: RNAcentral